This 445-nucleotide ribosomal RNA is filed under the name uncultured bacterium. Its description in RNAcentral is "partial 16S ribosomal RNA". It matches the Rfam family "Bacterial small subunit ribosomal RNA", at positions 354 to 796 of the family's 1533-position model. The record is from RNAcentral.
GUGAGGAAUAUUGGUCAAUGGGCGGGAGCCUGAACCAGCCAAGUCGCGUGAAGGAAGAAGGAUCUAUGGUUCGUAAACUUCUUUUGCAGGGGAAUAAAGUGCAGGACGUGUCCUGUUUUGUAUGUACCCUGAGAAUAAGGAUCGGCUAACUCCGUGCCAGCAGCCGCGGUAAUACGGAGGAUCCGAGCGUUAUCCGGAUUUAUUGGGUUUAUAGGGUGCGUAGGUGGUUUGAUAAGUCAGCGGUGAAAGUUUGCAGCUUAACUGUAAAAAUGCCGUUGAAACUGUCGGACUUGAGUGUAAAUGAGGUAGGCGGAAUGCGUGGUGUAGCGGUGAAAUGCAUAGAUAUCACGCAGAACUCCGAUUGCGAAGGCAGCUUACUAAGCUACAACUGACACUGAAGCACGAAAGCGUGGGGAUCAAACAGGAUUAGAUACCCUUGUAGUCC